Biomphalaria glabrata is the source of this 3224-nucleotide long non-coding RNA. RefSeq lists it as uncharacterized. Lineage: Eukaryota; Metazoa; Mollusca; Gastropoda; Planorbidae. The record is from RefSeq and is a predicted model, not a curated record. The transcript is spliced from 11 exons.
UCAAGACGUUGAGUAUUGAUUACUAAUCAACUACUAGCCUGGAAGAUAAAAGCCAAAGCUGUAAACAGACAGGUCAGGUAAAUAUAUGAAUGAAGAAAUUAAAUCUAGAAGUAAACAUCAUGGGAAGUCUAAUUAUAGGGCAAGUAUUUUUCCUUCAUAUCUUAUUUAACAUAGUCAAACCAUGCAAUACUUAUAGGCUUAACUAUUGUUUUCAUAGAAACAAUGUUAUUUUAAAUAUCAUGAGAUAGUGUAUUUAAGAGAUAUUGUAGUUCAAGUUUCCAUAUUUAAUCAGCUUAACAAGUGCACAUUCUCUGCUGCCAACAGUACCAAUUUGUCAUCCAAGCAACAAAUAUUCCUUGGUAAUCUGCUAUCAGAUGACAGUUAUCUCUUUGGCAUUUUUAUGAAUUAAAGCUUUCAAAGCCAAACUUCAGAUUUGCUUAGCAUAUUCCUGUACUACAUAUCAACAAAUGUUUGAUGGUUUGUCUGGUUCAUCUCUUAACACUAUGAAGAUGGCUACACUAAUCUUAACAAGAAAACAUUCUGUUGCCAACAGUACCAAUUUGUCAUCCUAUCCAAGCAACUACUAUUCCUUGGUAAUCUGCUAUCAGAUGAUUACAGUUUUCUCUUUGGCAUUUGUAUGAAUUAAAGCUUUCAAAGCCAAAACUAUGAAGAUGGCUACACAGGUAUCAGCUAUCAGCAGUGCACCCCUAUGAUACACAAGUCUUCAUUGCCAAGUCACUCUGCCAAACAGUGUGUACACCUUUCUUGCAUUGGAAGUGACCCACUUUACUGUCAUGAGUCUGGAAAUGUCAGGCCAAGGAGAUCAAGUUUGUGUCCAAGGUUACUUAGUUAAUUCUCUAAGAACAAUAGACAGACUCUACAUGCUACUGAUCUGGAGGUUAGUGGCUCAAUCAUUGUGCACUGAUUCUUCACUGAUGCCUUGAUUCUCCACUGUCAACUUUAUUGUCAUAAAGUUUAUCUAGUGAUCUACAUAUCAAGACUAAAUGGUCAAUUAAACAUGAGGUCAAGGAAAAAGGAUGAACAUUUCAAGGCUACAGAAGGAACAUUAAACGUCUCUCUCACUGUGAAAAGAUUCUACCGAUCUACAAAUGAUCAACAUGUUUUAUCUUAAGUUCGUCUGCCAUUUCUUCAAAUGGAGCCAUAUUAAGAAUAAGAUUCUUUUUGUUCUUCCUUAGGUUCAAAUGUAUCAGUUGUUUUUGUUGACAGAUAUCAAGUCAUUUCAGUUCUCAAUUAUUUUGUGCACCAAGUUACAAGAAAAAAUUUAAGCAAGAGAGGUCACUACACUAAGACUUUGUCUUCUCAUAAGAAAGGAUGGCUGCCUGGUCAUGUGAUAUGUGCACUGGACUGUGUAUGGUCAUCUUGAUGCUCAUAUCUUGCCUGAUGACAUUUAUUCUGCUGAACAUUUGGUCAAGGAAGUAGAUUCUCUUCAGCUCUCAAGAAACAUUCAAAACAUGUCAAACAUUCGACAAGAAUAUCAAGUGCAAUGUACAUACCAACAUGAUGAAAAGGUAGACAACAUGAAGAUGUAGACCAACAUGAUGAAGAUGUAGACCAAUAUGAAGAGGUAGACCAGCAUGAUGAAGAUGUAGACCAACAUGAAGAUGAAAUGUAAACCAAAAAAUGGGUCAAGAGAUGUAUGGAAUACAAUGUGAACAUCUUGAGAAGUAAAACAAUUCCUAGAGGCAAAGACACAGACACCGGAUCUAUUAGAGAUUUUCCUUUUCUACCAUCAUUUAGAGACUUCCUUGUGCUCUAAGGGAACCUGUCAUUAUCUUUUGAUUGCUAAUUGGCAUUGAUGUUUUUACAUUCCUACUGCGUCUGAAAGAAAUUAACAUUUCCCUAAUGCUACUUGAAAACCAGACCUUCUCAAGACAAUUUUAGUGACCAAGCUGCAAUAUGGGACUCAGUAGGAAACAAUGAAGAAUGCUCCUAACCUCAGGUUGAGUAACCAUGCUCACCUACUAGAGUGGCGACAAAUACUUCUACACCCACAGUUAUACAUCCUGAACCCUGUAACCCAACCUCACAACAUGGUUACAUUACCGGAAGUGGUCGCAAGGUCAGAAAACCUAACAGAUACAAUGGAUAGAACAAUGAACAGGUACAAGUACUCAAGUGAUGUACUUUGUGAGAACUAUUUAGGUGGAAUCACCAUAAUUGACUUGUAUAAAUCUUGUUCUAUAUUUAGGUAUAUCUUGACAAUCAGUCCAGUCAUUUGUUCAUUUUUUUUUAAAUAUUCCUUUUUUUUCCCUCAAUCUUCUUGUUGUUUCAGUUACAUGUUUUUGUAUUUUGAAGGAGGAAGGUGCUUUGGUAUAUUAUCGUUAUUAUUAUUGUACCAGUAUUAAGCAAACUUUUAUAUCUUUAAUUAUUCAUGAAUUCUAAAGCAGAACGUCACUUCCACCGGAAAAUGUUGUAACAACUAUACGUGUCUUCAGUUAACAUUCAAUACUCUGUACAGUCACAACGCCAAAGCCUUGCUAGAUUAUGCUUUUAAUUCAAUUUGUUAUCUCCCCUGCUUUAGUGUGCUAUCAUAUAAUUUUUUGUGUCACAUCCCUGCACAAUUUGUUCUAUGCUUUUUUACAGUAUAAAUAGCGACUUGACAUUAUUUAGCUCUAUUAUAAUAUUGUUAUAUUAUUAUAUUUAAAAUAAAACUGUUAACAUAUUCUAUGCUGUUAUAAUAUAAAUGUUUUGCUGUUACCAUGAAUACAGUUUUGAGUUUUUGUCUGAUUUCUUAGAGGAGAAAUUUUUCAUAAAUAAUAAUAAUAAGGCUUAUCUUCAAGUCCGAAGAUUAGUGAGAAGUAUGCAGUAUUCCCCAGCUAGGACCUACAUAUUUUGCUAUAAAUAAAGAGUAUAAUAAUAUUUACUACUUGGUAUUGUCAGUCUUCACUAAAGCAAUGAGUUUAUCCCCUUAGUGUGUUUAAAAUUUUCAAAUACUAAUUCACUUUGUAUUAUCUGUUGGUGAUCAUAAGGUAUCCACUUUGUCAUCUCCAUAGUCUCUGGUGUUAACACUCAGUGUCCUGUUGGAGGUUACGGCUAAGAUGUUAUCUCUCUUUCUGAUGGAACACAUGUAAAACCAACAAAACAAACAUUAGACCUAGACUUUAUUAACAGGUAAAUUUUUAUAAUUGUGAACUGGCGCUCCCAAAGCUACUUUUAUGUAUUUUAAAUUUUACUUCUGUAGGCUAGUGCUAAGCUGUAUACUU